GAUACUUUCGAAUGGGCCCUUUACAAAUAAAAUCAAAGAAAAUGACAAUCCACCUCCAGAAAUGAAAUAACAAGGAAAAGAUGUUUCUAAAGUUGCACACAAAUUAUUUUGUGGCUGAAAUCAAGGUCAGAUGUUACACAAGCUAAAAGGAACAAAAUGUGAACCAUAUUCAGCUGUAGAAGAGCAGAAGGUAACAAUACUGAUGUCAAUAUUAUAAUGAAAGCAGCCAAAUAAGGUUCUGCAUAGUUUCUGAUGACUUUGUCACCAAAUCUUGAUUCUAUUCACAUAGAGCAAAUGCACAUCCUGAUAUGUGCAUAAUUACACUUCUGAAUGCAAGCUAUACAUCCUCACUAGUCACUGAUAUGUGCAUAAUUACACUUCUGAAUGCAAGCUAUACAUCCUCACUAGUCACUGAUAUGUGCAUAAUUACACUUCUGAAUGCAAGCUAUACAUCCUCACUAGUCACUGAUAUGUGCAUAAUUACACUUCUGAAUGCAAGCUAUACAUCCUCACUAGUCACUGAUAUGUGCAUAAUUACACUUCUGAAUGCAAGCUAUACAUCCUCACUAGUCACUGAUAUGUGCAUAAUUACACUUCUGAAUGCAAGCUAUACAUCCUCACUAGUCACUUGAAUAGCAGGGGGGAAAGUUUACGUGUACAUGGAUUAUGCAACAAGCCAAUCUAAUUGACAGAUAAUUGGGCCUAAGAGACUAUACUGCAUUAUAUUAGCUACAACUCUUCUAUAUGAGAUUAUCUUUCCACAACAAAAAUGUAAAAAAGCAAGUUAUUUUCUCUUCCUUCACCUCCAAAUGGAGUAAUGGACUGAGGUUUCUCCUAAAGUCUUACCCCAAAAAUCCCAGCUAUUUUGUUUUGCAGAGGGGAUGAAGUAGUAAACCAUGUAGUUUUCUG
RNAcentral lists this long non-coding RNA (909 nucleotides) under Solanum tuberosum (potato). RNAcentral describes it as "long non-coding RNA (STUB_LNC008054)". Lineage: Eukaryota; Viridiplantae; Streptophyta; Magnoliopsida; Solanales; Solanaceae. The record is from RNAcentral.